GACGAACGCUGGCGGCGUGCUUAACACAUGCAAGUCGAACGGAAAGGCCUGCUUUCCCUUGUGGAUUGCGGGUACUCGAGUGGCGAACGGGUGAGUAACACGUGAGUGAUCUGCCCCCAACUUGGGUAUAAGCCUGGGAAACUGGGUCUAAUUCCCGAUAGGACUGCAGGGUGGUGCCUGUGGUGGAAAACGAUUUUCUAGUGGUUGGGGAUGAGCUCGCGGCCUAUCAGCUUGUUGGUGGGGUAAUGGCCUACCAAGGCGGCGACGGGUAGCCGGCCUGAGAGGGUGGACGGUCACAUUGGGACUGGGACACGGCCCAGACGCCUACGGGAGGCAGCAGUGGGGAAUAUUGCACAAUGGGCGGAAGCCUGAUGCAGCGACGGUGCGUGGGAGAUGACGGCCUUCGGGUUGUAAACUCCUUGCGACCGCGAGGAAGCCACCUGGUUGGAAGGGUGGUGACGGUAGUGGUAGAAGAAGCACCGGCUAACUACGUG
RNAcentral lists this ribosomal RNA (494 nucleotides) under uncultured bacterium. RNAcentral describes it as "partial 16S ribosomal RNA". It matches the Rfam family "Bacterial small subunit ribosomal RNA", at positions 28 to 507 of the family's 1533-position model. The record is from RNAcentral.